This 468-nucleotide ribosomal RNA is filed under the name uncultured bacterium. RNAcentral describes it as "partial 16S ribosomal RNA". It matches the Rfam family "Bacterial small subunit ribosomal RNA", at positions 28 to 507 of the family's 1533-position model. The record is from RNAcentral.
GACGAACGCUGGCGGCGUGCUUAACACAUGCAAGUCGAACGGAAAGGCCCUGCUUUUGUGGGGUGCUCGAGUGGCGAACGGGUGAGUAACACGUGAGUAACCUGCCCUUGACUUUGGGAUAACUUCAGGAAACUGGGGCUAAUACCGGAUAGGAGCUCCUGCUGCAUGGUGGGGGUUGGAAAGUUUCGGCGGUUGGGGAUGGACUCGCGGCUUAUCAGCUUGUUGGUGGGGUAGUGGCUUACCAAGGCUUUGACGGGUAGCCGGCCUGAGAGGGUGACCGGCCACAUGAGGACUGAGAUACGGCCCAGACUCCUACGGGAGGCAGCGGUGGGGAAUAUGGCACAAUGGGCGGAAGCCUGAUGCAGCAACGCCGCGUGCGGGAUGACGGCCUUCGGGUUGUAAACCGCUUUCGCCUGUGACGAAGCGUGAGUGACGGUAAUGGGUAAAGAAGCACCGGCUAACUACGUG